GCAGAAGUACUCAAGAGGCCGAAGAGGCGCCCCUGCUAAGGGUGUAGGUCGGGAAACCGGCGCGAGGGUUCAAAUCCCUCCUUCUGCG
RNAcentral lists this transfer RNA (88 nucleotides) under Lachnospiraceae bacterium. RNAcentral's name for it is "tRNA-Ser". It matches the Rfam family "tRNA". From Rfam's summary of the family: Transfer RNA (tRNA) molecules are approximately 80 nucleotides in length. Their secondary structure includes four short double-helical elements and three loops (D, anti-codon, and T loops). The record is from RNAcentral. RNAcentral also lists the same sequence under 1 other name. Lineage: Bacteria; Bacillati; Bacillota; Clostridia; Lachnospirales; Lachnospiraceae.